Molecule: unclassified non-coding RNA, 270 nt
Filed under: uncultured fungus
Lineage: Eukaryota; Fungi
Description: sequence contains ITS1
Source: RNAcentral
UUUCGUUUCCUCGCUCGUUCCUUCUUCCGUGGCGCGCUGGCCUUCAGACGGAGGGGCCGGGGGUGGGUUGGGCCGCUUCGUUUGCUCUCGGGCCUCCCCCGGGUUGGCACCCGGGGAAGCAACAGGGUUGGGUACGCAGAGGGUGUGGUUUGGACAUUGCCGCUUGGCGCUGGGGAGCCGGAUUGGUCACCUGGCGGCCCCACGCCUUGUUUCAGCUUGCUCGAAGCUGUCCUUCUAGUAAUGAUCCUUCCGCAGGUUCACCUACGGAAA